GGAGAUGUAGCACAAUGGAAGAGUGUUUAGCCUUUUAAGUUAAUGAUUAAGGAUUGAUACCCCGCAUCUCUA
This 72-nucleotide transfer RNA is filed under the name Asparagus officinalis (garden asparagus). Its description in RNAcentral is "tRNA A4U43_Lys209". It matches the Rfam family "tRNA". Rfam says of the family: Transfer RNA (tRNA) molecules are approximately 80 nucleotides in length. The record is from Rfam by way of RNAcentral. Lineage: Eukaryota; Viridiplantae; Streptophyta; Magnoliopsida; Asparagales; Asparagaceae.